GAUGGUGUAGCUCAGCGGUUAGAGCGGUUGACUGUUAAUCAACGGGUCGAUGGUUAAAUCCAUCCACCAUCGCCA
RNAcentral lists this transfer RNA (75 nucleotides) under Escherichia coli. Its description in RNAcentral is "tRNA-Asn". It matches the Rfam family "tRNA". Rfam says of the family: Transfer RNA (tRNA) molecules are approximately 80 nucleotides in length. Lineage: Bacteria; Pseudomonadati; Pseudomonadota; Gammaproteobacteria; Enterobacterales; Enterobacteriaceae. The record is from RNAcentral. RNAcentral also lists the same sequence under 2 other names.